UCAAGAAACUUCCACAAUGGGCGAAAGCCUGAUGGAGCGACGUCGCGUGAUGGACGAAGUGCUUCGGCACGUAAACAUCUUUUAUGUGGGAUGAAAUUAUUGACAGUACCACAUGAAUAAGGGGCUCCUAACUCUGUGCCAACAGGAGCGGUAAUACAGAGGCCCCAAGCGUUAUCCGGAAUCACUGGGCGUAAAGGGUGUCGAGGCGGUUGUAUUAGUCGUUCGUAAAAUCUACGAGCUUAACUUGUAGGCGGCGAACGAAACGGUACGACUUGAGGUUUGGAGAGGUGCGUGGAACUCACGGUGUAGGGGUGAAAUCCGUUGAUAUCGUGGGGAACACCAAAGGCGAAGGCAGCGCACUGGCCAAAAUCUGACGCUCACACACGAAAGCUAGGGUAGCGAAGAGGAUUAGAUACCCCUGUAGUCCCUGAGCGGGCUGGCAAGGCGCAU
This 450-nucleotide ribosomal RNA is filed under the name uncultured bacterium. RNAcentral's name for it is "bacterial SSU rRNA". It matches the Rfam family "Bacterial small subunit ribosomal RNA", at positions 355 to 825 of the family's 1533-position model. The record is from RNAcentral.